CAGCCGCCGCGGUAAUACGGAGGGGGCUAGCGUUGUUUGGAAUUACUGGGCGUAAAGCGCACGUAGGCGGCUUGGUAAGUUAGAGGUGAAAGCCUGGAGCUCAACUCCAGAAUUGCCUUUAAGACUGCCGAGCUAGCAGGUGAGAGAGGUAAGUGGAAUUCCGAGUGUAGAGGUGAAAUUCGUAGAUAUUCGGAAGAACACCAGUGGCGAAGGCGGCUUACUGGCUCAUACUGGACGCUGAGGUGCGAAAGCGUGGGGAGCAAACAGGAUUAGAUACCCCUGUAGUCCCUGUCUCUUAUAC
Molecule: ribosomal RNA, 301 nt
Filed under: uncultured bacterium
Lineage: Bacteria
Description: partial 16S ribosomal RNA
Rfam family: Bacterial small subunit ribosomal RNA
Source: RNAcentral